UUUUUGACGCAGUGCCAAGUACAGAAGUGCGUUUGUGUUGUCGGGCCGGAGGGAUGUAGGGUUAGGCAUCGUUAUUGGACACAUUACCAGCAGCAUCAGUACCAGCCGCCCCGUUGGGCUCAGUCAGCACCGCACCACCAGCUGCCGUAGAACUGUCUCUCACUGCCCUGCAACACCACCAGCUGCCGUAGAACUGUCUCUCACUGCCCUGCAACACCACCAGCUGCCGUAGAACUGUCUCUCACUGCCCUGCAACACCACCAGCUGCCGUAGAACUGUCUCUCACUGCCCUGCAACACCACCAGCUGCCGUAGAACUGUCUCUCACUGCCCUGCAACACCACCAGCUGCCGUAGAACUGUCUCUCACUGCCCUGCAACACCACCAGCUGCCGUAGAACUGUCUCUCACUGCCCUGCAACACCACCAGCACUUUUGGAGAUUCGGCAUCGGCUCCUCUAUCUAGUCGGCACCUCCCGCUCCCUCCAGAUUCUUCAAGUACUCAACACACUGCCCUAUUAGUGCAGCGGAGGAACACCACCAGCUGCCGUAGAACUGUCUGCCUCACUGCCCUGCAACACCACCAGCUGCCGUAGAACUGUCUGCCUCACUGCCCUGCAACACCACCAGCUGCCGUAGAACUGCCUGCCUCACUGCCCUGCAACACCACCAGCUGCCGUAGAACUGUCUGCCUCACUGCCCUGCAACACCACCAGCUGCUGUAGAACUGUCUCUCACUGCCCUGCAACACCACCAGCUGCCGUAGAACUGUCUCUCACUGCCCUGCAACACCACCAGCUGCCGUAGAACUGCCUGCCUCACUGCCCUGCAACACCACCAGAGCUUUUGGAAAUUCGGCUCCUCUAUCUAGUCGGCACCUCCCGCUCCCUCCAGAUUCUUCAAGUAGUAAGUCAGGGAGAGGGUCACACAGUCAGUGGCUCCUCACCCCCCGGUUUUACUCCUUACCUGCUCCUGCUUUAUUAUCCAUGAAUUGUAAAAAUACACCAACUGAUUACUGUGCAAUCAUGAGCCACAGUUGAGUAGAAAGUCAGUAAUUGGUCUGUUUGUUUUUAUAAUUGAUUGUUAUGAUGUUGUAAUUGCCUGGGAAUCAUGAUUUCUGGUCUUGUACUUCCCUCCCACCUGUUUUAUUGUGCUGCAAAUUAGUUUUUAUUUUAUUAAAUUGUG
This is a long non-coding RNA of Xenopus tropicalis (tropical clawed frog), 1183 nucleotides long. RefSeq lists it as uncharacterized. The record is from RefSeq and is a predicted model, not a curated record. The transcript has 3 exons. NCBI's taxonomy places the organism in Eukaryota, Metazoa, Chordata, Amphibia, Anura, Pipidae.